Long non-coding RNA from Monopterus albus (swamp eel), 262 nucleotides. RefSeq lists it as uncharacterized. The record is from RefSeq and is a predicted model, not a curated record. NCBI's taxonomy places the organism in Eukaryota, Metazoa, Chordata, Actinopteri, Synbranchiformes, Synbranchidae. The transcript has 4 exons.
UUGAAGAAAUAGUAAAUCAUCCCUCAACUGGGGUACUAACCAUCAAGUAUGAAACAGAAACAGCCUCUACACAAGCCUCUCCUCAGCAGGCCCAGCUGUCAUCGUCACUUGAUUCUACAUCACCACCCCGACAGGUGAAAGAAAUGUAUGCCAGAGGAAUUCCCCUAUCUCAGUGACCCGUACUCUAAAAACGGCUAUGAGCAUUUCUACGACGGUGAGAGUGGCACUGGGUACUUGGCCUGGAGGAUUAAAACUAUCCAGA